AGAAAGAAAAAAAAAAACUAAAAAACCGACCCGGCCCCGACCCAACUCCACCCCAUCCUAAUCCCACCACCGCCACCACCACACCCACCACCACUCCCCAUUCUCCCCCUUCGCCCAAACCCUAAACCUAGCGGCGUUCGCCUCUCGAUCGCUCAACUUUGAACCAUGACCGGCAGUGGAGUAGUGGAGCGCCACACCCGCCCGCCGGCGCUGGCAGCGGCGGCGGCGGCGGCGAGGAAGCCCGCUCCCGGCCAGCCCUGGUCCCACUUGGAGACGGUCCACCUCAUCGAGGCCUACGAGGAGAAGUGGUACUCCCUCAAGCGUGGACAGCUCAAGGCCCAUCAGUGGGAGGAGGUCGCCGCCGCCCUCGCCGCCCGAUGCGGCUUCGACGGCCUCUCCAAGAACGGCACCCAGUGCCGCCACAAGAUCGAGAAGCUCCGCAAGCGCUACCGCGCCGAGCGCCUCCGCCCCAACCCCUCCGCCUGGCCCUACUUCGACCGCAUGGACCGCAUGGAGCGCGGUCCCCUCCCGAUCUCCGUCCGUCCCCCGGUCUCGCCCGCCGCCGCCGCCGCCGCCGCAGUUGGCGAGCCCUCCAGCGAGGAGGACGAGGACGAGGAAGAUGAGGAGGAGGAGCGGAUGGCGAGCAACACCAGGAGCAUCAACGGCAUCCUCCGGGAGGGAAACUGGGGGUUUUCUAGGGUUUCGAGGAAUCCCAGGUCCAGAAAAAGGCGAGCUUUCGAGGAGGAGGAGGAGGAGGACGACGACGACGACGAAGAAGAGGAGGAGGAGGGGAUGGGAGGGCGAGGGGAGGCGCUGUCGCAGCUGGCGGUGGUGGUGAGAAUGUUUGGAGAAGAGCUGGUGAGGAUGGAGAAGAGGAGGAUGGAGGUGCUGAGGCAGGUGAAGAGGGAUUGGAUGGAGAUGGAGGCGAAAAGGGCCGAGAUGGUUAUGGAAUCGCAGCAGUGCCUCGUGGACACCAUCGCCAAUGCUUUCUCUUCUCUAAAGAAGGCCAAGAAGUCCCAGGAUUCGUGAGAAUGCCAGGAAAGGAAGGAAAAAUAUUCACUUCUGCUCCAUCGACGGUGGUGUCAAGGAAAACAUGUCAGCUAUUAUAAGAGAGGAAUCUGAAACAUUUUCGAAUCACUAUCAAGGUGAAUUGAAAAACUUAGUCUGGCUAAUAUAAUCUAGCUCUGCCUCCACAUCUCAGUGCUCUUUGUGAUGAAUCCAGCAAAUUGUUAUCCUAUCUGAAAUCCAUGAAAUUUCAUCCUAGAGAGCAACAAUAUUAUAGUAGGAAAUAUAAUUUGGUUGAAUAUUUGAGAUUUCAAUGGUCAGCUUAAGUCAUAGAACUUCUUGAGUUCAGAGGUUAUUGGAGUACAUGGAGGUUCCAAAAGAAAGGGAAUUCGAACUGUUUCUGUAAACCUAAGGUCUCUGUUUUUGCAUGGUGGGAAGUACUACAGCUGCAACAAGUUCAAUGAUGUUGAAAUGUCGUAAAGAUAAAUUUCUAUUUAGUGAGUAUGACACAGUUUUUUCUAUAACUGGUGUAUCAAUGUCGUACUAAUAUCAAAAAUAAUGUUUCAUUUCUUCUGAUAUUCUCCAGUAUCAAAUUGGUUAAAAGUUGAAACAAAAUUUGAAAUCGAAUAUGAAAUGUUUAAUGAGUUGAACUAUGGAGGAAUCUUUUGAAUUUCAUUUGCUGUUGUUUUUGACUAAUUAUCUUUGAUAUUCUACCAGAAAAAGAAAAAUAUCUUUGAUAUAGGAGAAAUUAUUGAUGAUAAAGCAUGAAUCAGUUUUCUAUUGAAUUAAUAUCAAAAGUUCUUGGGAGAUCCUAAUGAAUCUUUGGAUGUAUGUGAGUAUUAAAUAGAGAAAAAUUUUGGAAUGCUGAGCCUGAGGGAGAAGAUAUCUAAUUAUAAGCAUAUGGGUGCAUGCUAACUUUCAAGGCUGAACUUUGAAGUAUUUGAAUGUUAAGAACAAACUAUUAAGAUUAAAAAUUUAAUGUGGAGAUGGACAAUUUAGCAUCACCGUUAACUAUAUAAACAUUAAUUGUCAAGGUACAUGAUAUAUUAUAACCAAGAAAGUAAGUGCAACAGCAUCUAAUGUUUCAAACAUUUAUUGUCAAGGUACAUGAUUCAAGUAUAAAACAUUUUGGAAUGCAAAUUGUAUCAUGAGAAGGUACCAAUUGAGGAUUGAACAAUGGUGGAUUAAAGCUCAGGUCUCUUGGAUGAAUUAAGGUAUAUGUAGCAUUAUUUUGGUUAGUGUUGAGUAAAAUCCUGCUAGGAUCAAAUUAGAGGAGUUUUAGAAACUGAUUUAUUUUUUUUUUAUUGUCUUUGAUUUUUUAAUUCGAUAAUAAAACUUCUUUGGUUGAUUGGAUUUAGUAUCUACUUUAAGGAAGGACCCUUGUGAUUAUCUUUUGGGAUUAUAUCAGUUGGCUGUACAGGGGAUAAAAUCUUAGUUGAAUGAGUAUUCUCUGGAAAACAUAUGUGAAAAUCAUGACCAAAUAUUGACGGGCUGUCUGAAUCUCUUCGGUCAACUAUUGGGAGUUCUUAAUGGACCCAUUAAGUUGGUCCCAUAGGCCUAUGAGUUGUUCGUUUUGGAUGGGGUAAUAGAUAUAUACAUAACCAGCUGUUGUUUUAUUUGAUGCAUUGUUUUGCUGAAUUACUAUCAGAUUUUUGUAUUUCUGCUUGCUUUUUCUUCUACCUUUUUAACCCAAAGAAUGUUGGUUAUUAGAGGAAAAUUGGAAAGUUUCCUUAGAACAUGGAAGGUACUGGACAAAUGGCUUGUCAAAAACAUUGACUGGUAUUAUUGUUGAAGUGUCAAACAGUGGCUACUUGAAGUUCUUUGCUAGUUUAGACAACUUUUUGGUCAGUAUUGUGAAAGUAUUUUUGAAGUAUUUAUUAGCUAUAUGUGAAUACCUUUUAUCCUUGAUUAUCAUAAAACUUGUAUAAAGAAAUUUGUGUACUUAACAUGCUUUAAGCUGGCUAACGAAGUUUUGUAGGCAAACUCCUUGGUGGAUUCUUGUCCAAAGUUAAGGAGAUAAUGGCAAUUUGAGCUUUAAUUUGGACCAAGUCAGUUGGUCUGUGGACAAUCACUUACAUCGUUUGUUUAUUACUUUUCCAAUCACACUUUAUUAGCCCUUUAAACUAUCAUCUUAUUGGUAAUGACUUCUAUAUGUUUUUUAUUUCUUUCUCUUUUUAUUUAUUUUCAAAGUCAAAAUUCUUCACUAGUUGAGUAAGCGGAAAAUGUAUUAUGAAAAUUGGGUGAUAUAAAAUCUUGACUAUUAUGAAUAUUGCUCUACUAGUGAAGUUGUUGUUUACUUUUGUGUUGCUUAAAACGGGUUUAUGUUGUAAAGAUGUUGUCAAUGGAAUAUAAGGAGCAGUUAAAUGUGGAAGAAGAUCGGUUGUAAUGGCUGGAUAACAUUUAGGAAGAUCCUUACUCCCUUAAAAAAUGCUCAUAUAUAAUUAAUAUAAGCAUAAUAUAUGUGUAAUUAUGUACUAUAAAGCUUUUUAUAGCAUAAUAUUUAAAAAUAUUAUAGCUUAGCAAAACGGUCUUAAAUGAUGACUCCUAUUACCAAAGAACUGUUAAGAAUUAUAUCCGAACUCAAAAGGACAUGGAACUUUUAGAUGCUUCAUCCUCCUUUUUAUAUUGUCCUGCUUGCGUUGUCUUGGUUGUUGCUUGCAAGGUUUUUAAUCUCAAUACUGGGUCUACUACUAGUAGCUUGUUGGAGGGGGUUGGUUUGGUAGAGUACAUCCUUGUACCGACACAUGAUAUUAAGCCUCCAUAUUCUAUUGGUAUAUUAUGAUAUCGGUACGACACAUCCAGUACUAGCUAAUAUGAGCAGAAAAGAUUGAUUGCUUGCAUCUAGGAAUGGCAAUCAGGUCGGGCUAGGUUGGAUAUAGGUCAGAUCGAAUGCAGAUCAAGUUAAAAAUCUGUUAACCCGAACCUAAUCUAUUUAUUAAACCGAUCAAGAAAUCCAAUCCGAACUUGACCUUUUUAUUAAACAGGUACCGACUUGACUCACAUUACUUGUUUAAUAAAUAGGUUGAAUUAGAUUAAAUAGUUUAAAUGGGUUAAGCGAGUCUUAAAUGGUUUAAACAGGUCUUAAACAAGUUAAACAGAUUGGCUCAUGACCAGACUCGGCUAUUAAAUGGGUUAAAUAGAUCAGAGGUCUGAACCUAAACCCAACCUGUUUAAUAAAAGGAUCUAGGUGGGUCGAUCUAUGUAUAGAGCAAACUUGUUUAUACCAAACCUAAACCUGUUUAAAAUGGAUUGAUUGCGGGUCGAUUGGCUGGUCGGGUCAUAAAUUGCUACCCCUACUUGUUUUGGUGAUGUGACUUAACUUUUAUAUAUGUCUUCUUCUAGAGUCAUUUGGGAAGGUCUCUCACCCUAGAUGCAAGGACAAAUAGACCUUUUCCAACUCUAAUUGGUUUGCAUUAUUGAUAUAAAAUGGUUUGAGGUAAAAGGGAAGCAUUUCAACUUUUAUAUUUUCUAUUUCCCAAUCUGCAUUUUGAAGUGAACAUGCAUAGUAUAAUUCUUCCUACGUUUUUACAUUCAUAGGCACUACUUUAACAUCCUCCUUGAUACUUAUUAGUCAAUGAGUUUCCCAUUUGGGAUGGCUUCCCUUGUUUGCUCUUUGGCCAAAGACUAUUCGUGCUGCGUGGUUGGGGGGGCCUUGCUAGGUCCAUGACAUUUGGAAAAUUGCAAUGGUUUUGCCAACCGUUGGAGGUUUGCUAGUGAUCGCUUGACAACUUGUGAAUCAUCAUCUCUUCUGGGGAAGGAUUCUGCCACAUUUAGGCCUUUGUUUCCAUCUCUCAAGCUCACCUAAAAGCAUCUUUAUUCACACCAAACUCCCUGCUAAUGAUAAAUAAUUACGUGAUAAGUCAUCACCAAUAGGUCUAGUCUUAAGAGAAAGGCAGUUAAUAUUUCUAGUUUGGGGCUAAUUUAGAUUUGACCAAGAUUAAACUUGUAACAUAACAAAACAGCCUAAACAAGCUUAUGUAGGAACUCUUUGUUGUUUGUUCCACUCAUAUGUCAUUGGUACUAAGCUCUUGGCUUGAGUAGCUCGCGUCAUUCUCCAGUAGGGUGGCUGAGCCAAAACCCUAUAUAAGUUGCAGUUCAUCAAGCACUGAGGCAUUGCAUCCCCAAGGCUUUUUGUGUCUGGAAUGCCACUCAUUCUAGGAAGAUUUUCAUGCUUGGUCAAUAAAGAUUUGGUUCUUUUGUAAGUUAUUUUGCUUGCUUGUAGUUUCUCUUUGUAAAUCAUUUCUCCUUCUACAAUUUGAGCUUGGUUGAUUUUUUUCUCUAUAGCCAUCCAUCUCUUUCUCCUAUAAGAUUUGGCUCUCCUAUAGGAUUUCCUCUUGAUUGCCUAUUUUAGUUUCUCUUGGUCAACAACUUCCUUGGAUGGUAUCUUGGUAUCUAGCUGGAUUGGCAAUUCUUUAGGCUUGGCUAUCUUUUUUCUCCAUAGCCUGUCCAUUGAUGAGAAGUCUCACGUCUUUGAUGCAUGAAUGACAACACAAACCCUGUUAUAUUUGGGUGCUCCAACUUACUUGUAUCAGCCUCAAAGAAUCUCUUGGCUUUAGAUCCUUCAAGGCUCAAGAUUCUGUCCUUUAAUACCACAUAGGAAGGUUUGACAAUUUGAUCCAAAGAGGUUGUAUAUCAAAGGACCCCUUCUUUCAUUAGAAGUCCUUUAUUUUUUGAGAAAAAUAUUAGAAUUGACCAUCACAUAACUGAGGUCUAUCCAUCAGCACUUAGUCCUAUUUGCUUCAGUCUUGAUUGAAAUAUAAAAGCAGUGAUUUUUUUUACUGCACAUUUCCUGAUAUCCCCAUUAAAUUUUCAACAAAAAUUUCAUUAGAAACAUCCAAACGAGACAAACCUCUAUUUCUCUUUUCUUUUUAAGAAGCAUUGUCCAAGAUAAUUAAAUUAUUAAUAUAUAUUUUCUUAAAGUUGCUUUUUUAAGAAACAUUUCUCUUGGUGUUGCCGUUGUUUUGGUUUCUUUGUCAGCUUGCUAAGCCUUAAGAGGGACCACUGCUCCAGGUAGAGGUGUAACUUUAGUGCUUAUAUUGCUACUUUCUGUUUUUCUAACUGAUUUGGUGAUUGCAUCCAUGGCUUGGAUGCUGAUGAUCUACAUGAGGCCCUCUUGAUCACCACUUGUGGAGGCACUUGCAGUAUCUCUCACCUAAAGAUGUAGGAGGGGAUAGGGCAUUGUAUGUUGACUUUAAUCAGAGCAUGGAUGAUGUAUAUGAUUGCAAAUAUUCAAAGAACAAAAAGGUGCCCAAGAGACCCUGAGAUCUUCAUAUACUUGACUUGCAAGAGGUGCUUUGGGAGGUCAAGGUAUGAAGGUUGGAAUUAGUAUUGGAAUUAGUAUUUUUGAAAGAUGCAAGUUAUAGAAAUUUCUUAUUUCCUAUGGAUAAAUAUUACGUAUUAUAACAGUUCUAGAAAAAUAUCUUAAAAAAAGUGGCGAAUAUAUAUUCAUUACUGGAUUUCUAUUUGAUUUGGGAAAGCAAUACUACAAGUUAACAAUAAUCGAUUUAAGAUGGGGUGGAAGUGUAGUGACUUAGUGAGAUUUCGAAGCAGCUGGAUCCCCUGUGAAGAAGGUAGAAGCACUAAGUAUAGUAAAGGAGGACUAGUGAUGUAUAAAUGUAGAUGCUACACUGGAAGGGAUCCAUUUGGACUUGAGGACUCGCUGUAGGAAUUUAUCAACAUGAAAAUAAUUUGGAGUUUAGGAAAUUUAAAUACCAGUAACAUGUGGAUAAAUACAAUUAUGCAAGACAAAAAUUGGUUUCACAAUAUGCUAUACUAUUGGUGGGGUAGUCUAUUUGUCUUCAUGAGUUAGCAGGUUAGUAAAUCCAUUGGUGGAUCCUUGCAAGAAAAACAGGGUAAGCACUCUAUUUAAAGCAAUCCGAUCAUGUACGAUGACCAGGCUGCCACUUUGUGCUAAUGUUGUGAUACUUAUGAUGAUUUUCUUCAAUUAUCAAAAUGCAUGGUCCAUGUUUUGGGUACCGCACAUGAAUUGUAGGGAAAAAAGCUCUAAAUACCAUUAUAGAAUACCACAAAAACUGCAAUAUCACAUCAAAUAACUGAGGAUUAGGGUUAUUAAUGGCUAGUAGGGACUUCCUGAUGGUCCGUGUGAGGGAUUGGAAGAUCAGAAGUAAGAUAUACUGCUUUAUAUGGACUCUAGUGUUCUCCUCAAAGAAUCUGAGUCAGGUAAAUACUCAUUAAAUUCUUCGUUACAACUUUUAAAGAUCAAUGGAGAAUUGACCAUUCUAGCAAGAAGUUUGAUCCAACAAUGCCACUGGAAUAGAUUUCUAUUGUUUUCAGAGCUAGGAUAUCGAUGUAGGGAAAGGAAAAACUUUGCAGAAUGUCAUAAUUCUUGUAUUCUUGUAUUCAUAUGCUAUAUUGGAGUUUGGUUCAGGAUUAUGCAUAUUGGAACUACUUGACAAAUAAUAUAUUUUACUCUAUUAUAAAUCUAAAAUCCCUGAAUUAUAAUUUAGUUAAAAAUUAAUUUCAUCAAUGCUAAAUAGGUCUAGAGGGGCCUUUCCUAUGAUUGUUGAUUUCAUGUAUGGUAGGUUGGAGAGAUCUCAAGGCAAAUUCUGGCUGCAUUGUUCACCAUGACCAAUAAAUCUUUAGGGGCAUCCUUGUAAAAGUUGGGAAGCAAAUCUUCAAUACCUUCAUAUAACUACAGCCCAGCAUUUUUAGCUGGAUUGUGAUGACUUGUUGGAUUCCGCCGAACCUCCGUGGCGCUCCGCAGGCGUCUGCGGCCACUUCUUCCCCCUCCCUCCCCCGCUUGCUCUCUUUUUCUCUGCGUCUUCUCUAGAUUCGGCUGGUUUCUCUCGGUAUGACUCCGAUACCGAGCCGGACCAAUCACCGACCGGUACGGCAUCCGGUACCGGUUCGGCACUCCUUGGUUACAAUACUCUCUGGACUUCUAAAGAACAAUGGAAUGUCUUUCUUGUGUAGGAAACAUACAUCACAUGGUUAUGUUCUCAUGUCUAUAUAUUAUUUGGCUGUUAUUCCAUCUGUAAUAGAGAAAACUAGUAAUUUUGAUUGUCAAGGAGAACGUAGGAAUUACAUGGAGAUAUAUGUAAUUCUAGGUUAUGUAGUAGUUGCUUGUUAGUAAAACUACAGAUAUUAUGCUGUGUCAUUGGGCAUUAAGCAAAACCUCAAUAAUACUCGCUACUAAUUUGAUUGCUUGUGUUAUUUGGAUUUGAUUGUUGUAGUGGUAGUAAAUUAGAGGGAGUGCACAUAAACAAUAUAGCUGGCAAAUACAAGGGUGUUGAGGUGGAUGUGGAGCAAAAUUAAGAGGGAUUAAGCUAGAAAACAUUGCAUGAGAUGGCUUACUUGCCGCCCUACUGGAAGAAAGACAUGUAAUGAGAUCAUUUUCCUUGCUUGGCAAUGGCAGAAAACUGCAGCAAAUACUCUUUUUUUCUUUUUGAACUUUUGGGAGGGCAGGUUUUGUUUGGGGUGUUCACUAAGUUUAUAAAUAUGUAUCUGCGAGGGGUUAUUACAUAUUUCUGGACCUUGCGAUAGCUAUUUAUGCCUUUGCAAGCUGAUAUGUCUCUGGUUCUGGCUGUAUGAAAAUGUGUUGGUGGAUGCAGCGGACAUCGAUGCAUAGCUGUUACUCUUUGCAUGUUGAGUGCUGAGUUGAUAAUCUCAAAGCUGAAUGCAUGAAAAUAUUUCGAGCUCUGGAGUUUAUAUUUGAGGACCUAAAUGCAGGUUAAAAUGUUUAUUGGUGUGGCUGACAUCGAUACAUAGCUGUUACUCUCUGCAUAUUACGCACUGAGUUGAUAAUAUUGGAGCUGAAUUUAUGAACAGAUUUCAUGCUUGGUUGUUAAUUGUUCACUACCGUGGGUGUACCUAGGCAGUUUGUACAUCUGCUCUGUGGAGAAUUCCGUCUAUAAGAGAAGUGAUUUUCAUAUUUGAAAAUCAUAAUUUCGGGCAUCACAAAAAAAGCAACUUGAUUGUUGUGCCAAAAAGCUCAACCCCAAUCAUUUAUCAAUGAAAGAUUGCUCUAAUCCUGACCAAGGGGGGACAGGCCAGACGCCUUUGGCAUGUUAUCCCUGUUGAGGCACCAGCAACCGAUGCAGGCAAUGGGGCCCAACGCUGGAGUGUUUUCAGAAUACCAUGAGAAGCCACAUAGAAAAGAGAGAUGUUUGCCCCAUUCUUUCGGAUUAGGAUUGUCUGGAAACCAGGGAGUGUACGCGAUUUUAUUUGGA
Molecule: non-coding RNA, 9194 nt
Organism: Phoenix dactylifera (date palm)
Lineage: Eukaryota; Viridiplantae; Streptophyta; Magnoliopsida; Arecales; Arecaceae
Source: RefSeq, a predicted model, not a curated record